CAGGCGCGUGCUACCUGCAAGUCGAACGUGAUCCGCCCUUCGGGGUGGUGAAAGUGGCGCACGGGUGAGUAACGCGUGGAUAAUCUGCCCGAGGAUUUGGGAUAACAUCUCGAAAGGGGUGCUAAUACCGAAUAAGCCCACGGGGUCUACGGAUCUUGCGGGAAAAGGGGGGGACCUUCGGGCCUCCUGUCCUUGGAUGAGUCUGCGUACCAUUAGCUAGUUGGUGGGGUAAUGGCCUACCAAGGCGACGAUGGUUAGCUGGUCUGAGAGGAUGAUCAGCCACACUGGAACUGAGACACGGUCCAGACUCCUACGGGAGGCAGCAGUGGGGAAUUUUGCGCAAUGGGGGAAACCCUGACGCAGCAACGCCGCGUGGGUGAUGAAGGCCUUCGGGUCGUAAAGCUCUGUCUGGAGGGAAGAAAUGAUUGGGAGCUAAUACCUCUUGAUCUUGACGGUACCUCUGAAGGAAGCACCGGCUAACUCCGUGCCAGCAGCCGCGGUAAUACGGAGGGUGCAAGCGUUGUUCGGAAUUAUUGGGCGUAAAGCGCGUGUAGGCGGUCUUUUAAGUCUGAUGUGAAAGCCCCGGGCUCAACCUGGGAAGUGCAUUGGAAACUGGGAGGCUUGAGUACGGGAGAGGAGAGUGGAAUUCCUAGUGUAGGAGUGAAAUCCGUAGAUAUUAGGAGGAACACCGGUGGCGAAGGCGGCUCUCUGGACCGAUACUGACGCUGAGACGCGAAAGCGUGGGUAGCAAACAGGAUUAGAUACCCUGCUAGUCCACGCCGUAAACGAUGAGUACUAGUGUUGCGGGUAUUGACCCCUG
This 820-nucleotide ribosomal RNA is filed under the name uncultured Geobacter sp. RNAcentral describes it as "bacterial SSU rRNA". It matches the Rfam family "Bacterial small subunit ribosomal RNA", at positions 36 to 841 of the family's 1533-position model. Lineage: Bacteria; Pseudomonadati; Thermodesulfobacteriota; Desulfuromonadia; Geobacterales; Geobacteraceae. The record is from RNAcentral.